Molecule: ribosomal RNA, 263 nt
Filed under: uncultured bacterium
Lineage: Bacteria
Description: partial 16S ribosomal RNA
Rfam family: Bacterial small subunit ribosomal RNA
Source: RNAcentral
GACGUAGGGGGCGAGCGUUGUCCGGAAUUACUGGGCGUAAAGAGCACGUAGGCGGGACCUUAAGUCAGGUGUGAAAGACCGCGGCUCAACCGCGGGGUUGCACCUGAAACUGGGGUUCUUGAGGGCAGGAGAGGAAAGCAGAAUUCCUGGUGUAGCGGUGAAAUGCGUAGAAAUCAGGAGGAAUACCAGUGGCGAAGGCGGCUUUCUGGACUGACCCUGACGCUGAGGUGCGAAAGCGUGGGGAGCAAACAGGAUUAGAUACC